UGGGGAAUAUUGGACAAUGGGGGCAACCCUGAUCCAGCCAUGCCGCGUGAGUGAUGAAGGCCUUCGGGUCGUAAAGCUCUGUGGGGAGCCACGAAACCCCGCCAGCGAAUAACUGGCGGGCUGACGGUAGCUCCUUAGCAAGCACCGGCUAACUCCGUGCCAGCAGCCGCGGUAAUACGGAGGGUGCAAACGUUGCUCGGAAUCAUUGGGCGUAAAGCGCACGUAGGCGGUCCUGUAAGUCGGGUGUGAAAUCCCUCGGCUUAACCAGGGAAGUGCAUUCGAAACUACAGGACUUGAGUACUGGAGAGGGUCGCGGAAUUCUCGGUGUAGAGGUGAAAUUCGUAGAUAUCGGGAGGAACACCAGUGGCGAAGGCGGCGACCUGGUCAGAUACUGACGCUGAGGUGCGAAAGCGUGGGGAGCAAACAGGAUUAGAUACCCCCGUAGUCCCUGAGCGGGCUGGCAAGGCGCAU
This 471-nucleotide ribosomal RNA is filed under the name uncultured bacterium. Its description in RNAcentral is "bacterial SSU rRNA". It matches the Rfam family "Bacterial small subunit ribosomal RNA", at positions 355 to 825 of the family's 1533-position model. The record is from RNAcentral.